AUGAAACAACAGAUUCAGAGAGGAUAUGUAACCAAAGUCAUGCCAUCAAGAAAUGAUAACCAGGAUUCAAGUUCAGGUUCGACUCUGAUGUCCACCUCUACAAUGUCAGUUCCACUGGGGCUCACGGGUAUUGAUCAUGUGUCUACUGUGCAUGAGACUCCAACAUGGAAAUUGGAGGAGAAAAGUCAAAGGAGUGGGCAAGGCCCAGCCAAGGCAGAACAAGAGGAUGAAGAACAGGAAAUGCAUCAGAAGGAAGAGGAAAAGUACCCAAGGGAAAAACUCUUUCUAGUAAGGGCAGCAAGCAAGUCAAUGGAUUCAUUUCAGGUGUGUGGGCUAAUGGAGGCUAGUUUCA
Molecule: long non-coding RNA, 352 nt
Filed under: Sus scrofa (pig)
Lineage: Eukaryota; Metazoa; Chordata; Mammalia; Artiodactyla; Suidae
Description: lncRNA (ENSSSCG00030014719.1, ENSSSCG00050016754.1)
Source: RNAcentral